CAUUAAAUGGAACUGCAGUGGUUCCCAGGUCAGAUUCAGUUGAGUUGUUUACAUUUGUGAGCAUGACAGUAGUCUUAUGGGCAGAACCAUUCUUCAAUACUUCGGAAUGGUCCAUUAAACCUUCUACAGGCGGGUUGUGAUUUUUCCAGGGUGUCAAUUUCGUCAGCUCUUGACUCCAUCCUUGGUAUGAUCCCUCAUACAUUUGUAACUUUUCCUGUAAAAACUGAAUGUA
This 232-nucleotide unclassified non-coding RNA is filed under the name Hevea brasiliensis (rubber tree). The record is from RNAcentral. Lineage: Eukaryota; Viridiplantae; Streptophyta; Magnoliopsida; Malpighiales; Euphorbiaceae.